Molecule: non-coding RNA, 1635 nt
Organism: Camellia sinensis
Lineage: Eukaryota; Viridiplantae; Streptophyta; Magnoliopsida; Ericales; Theaceae
Source: RefSeq, a predicted model, not a curated record
UUUCGCAAGUAGGGGCCUAAAGCCCAACUUUAGGGUCCGACUAUGGUAUGCAAAAGUGGUAUUUGUGUAACCAUACAUCGGCCCUUCCUGUGUUUCCGACGGUCAACGAUACUCCUUAGUUCUUCUCACUUCCCCAGUUCCCCAGCCCUAGUUUUUUCUCUCUUGAAGAAGAAGAUGUGCAACAGCCAAUCACGUUGGAUUCGCCUAGGGAGCUUCUCUAAUUUAUCACUCUCUAAUUUAUCACUGAAAGCAGCAAGUUCUUCAGGUGUUUAUGACUCCUGGAGGAAAAGGAUGGGUUCUUCGUACCCUAGAGGACCUCCCAAAAGGUGCAUUUGUAUGUGAAUAUGUUGGGGAAAUAUUAACCAAUGCAGAGCUGUUUGAGCGAGUCUCGAAAUGCCCCAGCAGUGAAGAGCAUGCAUAUCCUGUGCUGCUUAAUGCUGAUUGGGGUUCAGAAGGAGUCUUAAAGGAUGAAGAGGCUCUUUGUUUAGAUGCAACACAUUAUGGAAAUGUUGCAAGGUUUAUUAAUCAUAGAUACAGGAAGUGAUCCGAGGUACCAAGGACGUACUUUCUCUAGCUCAGUGUAGGUAUUAGGUAUAUGUGGUGGUCGGUUGUGGACCUCUGGGAAGAUAGCAAACACUUCAAUGGCUAAGGAUUGCUGGAGGUGGUGGAGGAGAAGACCAAGGAUUGCUGUGUAAUUUCUGUGUUAUCUUCUUGGUAUGUUCUUAUUGAUUGGGUGCAUGGGCUAGUCCUUGCUUCAACAAAGCGAAGGUAUUAGGUUUAUCGCUACAUCUCAUGAUUUGGAAGCACCUUAAGCUACCAUUACAUCUUGUUUGCCUUCUGGGGUUAUCUUGUGGACUGCCCAAGUUUCUAUACAACUUGAAUAUUUUACUUCUAUACUCAGUAAGUAGUCCCCUUUUAUUGAUUUUUAUCUCAUUCAUUACAAAGUCUUGCAUAUAGUUGAAGGGGAGAUUGAAAUUGAUUGAGUGGUUUAACAUGAUUGUCAAAAGUAUAGACAUAUCCUACGUUUAUCAAACUCUCUCUUAUACAUUUAACCAAUAGCAUUUCUUGCAAUAUAAAUUUUAUGAACUAAUAACAGGCUAGACAGUAGCCCUGGAAAGGACUCCUAGCUUUACUUAAAAUUUAAGGAAAUUCUAACCAAAGUAGAAACUCCUAAAAAUUAAAAUUUCUAACAAACAUGACUUUCUAUGCAAGAGCUCCUUUAUUGGCUAAUGAUGGGCUUUAAAUGGGCUGUUUUUGGAAUCUUUGUCUUUCUAUCCGUCUAUCCUUUAUUAACAGUUUGUGCCUGUUCUCAGUGGACAGAAGGAAUGAGAGGAGAGAAACAUGAAGGGGCAUAUAUAAUCAGUUAAAAAACUCAUCUUAGGUCAAGGGCUCAAGGAACUGAAAUGCAUCUUUAUGUAAGAUGCACCUGUGCUUUAUGAACUGUCUGAUAGAUUUGUGUAAAAUGCAUGUGUUCUAUGAACUUUCUGACAGAUUUUCAUUUAUUUAUUUAUUAUAUUACCCUAUUUAGGGUUGUUAUGUCCAUUUUUAUAAUGUCAAGAAAGAAUGUAAUGGGUUUUAAAUAAUUUAUGGUUGGUGGCUUUUAGAUAUUGUAACCACAUCUUUAUAUAAAAACUA